RNAcentral lists this long non-coding RNA (250 nucleotides) under Oryza brachyantha (malo sina). Its description in RNAcentral is "long non-coding RNA (OBRA_LNC003630)". The record is from RNAcentral. Lineage: Eukaryota; Viridiplantae; Streptophyta; Magnoliopsida; Poales; Poaceae.
UAAAAGGCGCGACCAUCCCCCCUUCCCCUAUUUUUUAAUUUCAUUCUCUACUUGGCCCGCCUCAUGAAAAAUGAUAGGCCUAUUGAUUCGAAGUAAGUACGAAAGGGUCGGUCAAUAGCAUAGCUAUUUUUUUCCUUUCGAAGGAAAGGCCUUCGCAUUCUUAAUCUGGUAGGGCCGGACGGCUUUGUUUGCCCUAGCUUGGCGAAUCCGCGCCCCUGACCGUUCUCGCGAAGUCUUUGCAACGGCUGGG